RNAcentral lists this small RNA (303 nucleotides) under Histoplasma capsulatum. RNAcentral's name for it is "hypothetical RNA". Lineage: Eukaryota; Fungi; Ascomycota; Eurotiomycetes; Onygenales; Ajellomycetaceae. RNAcentral also lists the same sequence under 1 other name. The record is from RNAcentral.
CCACCUGCAUGGACCAGCAGGCAUUUACUAGUUGACUAUCAGCCUUACCUCCCGAUUGCUUGGAACCCCCAGUUGUUUCGAAAUACCUCCUUGCGGCUCUGGGGUGGGCUUUCAUUUGUGAAGGCCACUUUCGAAGGGCACGAAUUUCAGAUUGGUAACACUAGGAUGCCAUCUUCCCGACUUUAAAAGCAGCGAUCACAGCGGCUCUCUUACAGAUGGAUUCUCAAUACUCGCGCACCACCCCCACAAGACCACCUUUGUGGGUGCUGGCCAUCGCUGUAACACCCGUGCCAACCCUACCAA